GUAACGGCCCACCAAGGCGACGAUGGGUAGCCGACCUGAGAGGGUGAUCGGCCACACUGGAACUGAGAGACGGUCCAGACUCCUACGGGAGGCAGCAGUGGGGAAUAUUGGGCAAUGGGCGCAAGCCUGACCCAGCAACGCCGCGUGAGGGAAGAAGGUUUUCGGAUUGUAAACCUCUGUCCUUGGGGACGAAGGAAGUGACGGUACCCGAGGAGGAAGCCCCGGCUAACUACGUGCCAGCAGCCGCGGUAAUACGUAGGGGGCGAGCGUUGUCCGGAAUGACUGGGCGUAAAGGGCGCGUAGGCGGCCGAUUAAGUCUGGAGUGAAAGUCCUGCUUUCAAGGUGGGAAUUGCUUUGGAGACUGGUUGGCUUGAGUGCGGAAGAGGUAAGUGGAAUUCCCAGUGUAGCGGUGAAAUGCGUAGAGAUUGGGAGGAACACCAGUGGCGAAGGCGACUUACUGGGCCGUAACUGACGUUGAGGCGCGAAAGCGUGGGGAGCGAACAGGAUUAGAUACCCUGGUAGUCCACGCGGUAAACGAUGAAUGCUAGGUGUUGCGGGUAUCGACCCCUGCAGUGCCGGAGUAAACACAAUAAGCAUUCCGCCUGGGGAGUACGGCCGCAAGGUUGAAACUCAAAGGAAUUGACGGGGGCCCGCACAAGCAGCGGAGCAUGUGGUUUAAUUCGAAGCAACGCGAAGAACCUUACCAGGUCUUGACAUCGAAGUAAAGCCAUAGAGAUAUGGUGUGGAUUCGUCCAACUGAAGACAGGUGGUGCAUGGUUGUCGUCAGCUCGUGUCGUGAGAUGUUGGGUUAAGUCCCGCAACGAGCGCAACCCUUAUGGUCAGUUACUAACGGGUAGAGCCGAGGACUCUGACGAGACUGCCGGGGACAACUCGGAGGAAGGUGGGGACGACGUCAAAUCAUCAUGCCCCUUAUGACCUGGGCUACACACGUGCUACAAUGGUGGUAACAAAGAGGAGCGAACCCGUAAGGGCAAGCGGAUCUCAAAAAAGCCAUCCCAGUUCGGAUUGUGGGCUGCAACCCGCCCACAUGAAGUUGGAGUUGCUAGUAAUCGCGAAUCAGCAUGUCGCGGUGAAUACGUUCCCGGGCCUUGCACUCACCGCCCGUCA
Molecule: ribosomal RNA, 1128 nt
Filed under: uncultured bacterium
Lineage: Bacteria
Description: bacterial SSU rRNA
Rfam family: Bacterial small subunit ribosomal RNA
Source: RNAcentral